RNAcentral lists this non-coding RNA (133 nucleotides) under Flagellimonas flava. RNAcentral describes it as "Spongiibacterium flavum SAM-I sequence". It matches the Rfam family "SAM riboswitch aptamer (S box leader)". Rfam says of the family: The SAM riboswitch is found upstream of a number of genes which code for proteins involved in methionine or cysteine biosynthesis in Gram-positive bacteria. The SAM riboswitch acts at the level of transcription termination control. Lineage: Bacteria; Pseudomonadati; Bacteroidota; Flavobacteriia; Flavobacteriales; Flavobacteriaceae. The record is from RNAcentral.
UGGUUAUCGAGAAAGGCGGAGGGACUAGACCCUGUGAAGCCUUAGCAACCCUUAGCACAUCCCAUCAUCUGGGAUUCUGAGAAGGUGCUACAUUCUACCUAACAUCGGUACAUGAUGAUGGGAUGGAUAACGA